This 100-nucleotide ribosomal RNA is filed under the name Cognatundibacterium curvum. Lineage: Bacteria; Pseudomonadati; Pseudomonadota; Betaproteobacteria; Burkholderiales; Oxalobacteraceae. The record is from RNAcentral.
CCUGAUGACCAUAGCGAGUUGGUACCACCCCUUCCCAUCCCGAACAGGACCGUGAAACGACUCUGCGCCAAUGAUAGUGCUGCAACCAGUGUGAAAGUAG